Molecule: ribosomal RNA, 878 nt
Filed under: uncultured Enterobacteriaceae bacterium
Lineage: Bacteria; Pseudomonadati; Pseudomonadota; Gammaproteobacteria; Enterobacterales; Enterobacteriaceae
Description: bacterial SSU rRNA
Rfam family: Bacterial small subunit ribosomal RNA
Source: RNAcentral
AUUGAACGCUGGCGGCAGGCCUAACACAUGCAAGUCGAACGGUAACAGGAAGAAGCUUGCUUCUUUGCUGACGAGUGGCGGACGGGUGAGUAAUGUCUGGGAAACUGCCUGAUGGAGGGGGAUAACUACUGGAAACGGUAGCUAAUACCGCAUAACGUCGCAAAACCAAAGAGGGGGACCUUCGGGCCUCUUGCCAUCGGAUGUGCCCAGAUGGGAUUAGCUAGUAGGUGGGGUAACGGCUCACCUAGGCGACGAUCCCUAGCUGGUCUGAGAGGAUGACCAGCCACACUGGAACUGAGACACGGUCCAGACUCCUACGGGAGGCAGCAGUGGGGAAUAUUGCACAAUGGGCGCAAGCCUGAUGCAGCCAUGCCGCGUGUAUGAAGAAGGCCUUCGGGUUGUAAAGUACUUUCAGCGGGGAGGAAGGGAGUAAAGUUAAUACCUUUGCUCGUUGACGUUACCCGCAGAAGAAGCACCGGCUAACUCCGUGCCAGCAGCCGCGGUAAUACGGAGGGUGCUAGCGUUAAUCGGAAUUACUGGGCGUAAAGCGCACGCAGGCGGUUUGUUAAGUCAGAUGUGAAAUCCCCGGGCUCAACCUGGGAACUGCAUCUGAUACUGGCAAGCUUGAGUCUCGUAGAGGGGGGUAGAAUUCCAGGUGUAGCGGUGAAAUGCGUAGAGAUCUGGAGGAAUACCGGUGGCGAAGGCAGCCCCCUGGACGAAGACUGACGCUCAGGUGCGAAAGCGUGGGGAGCAAACAGGAUUAGAUACCCUUGUAGUCCAAGGGCGAAUUCCACAGUGGAUAUCAAGCUUAUCGAUACCGUCGACCUCGAGUGUAGGACACCGGUAACCAGCUUUUGUUCCCUUUAGUGAGGGGUUUA